CAGGGAGCUGAAGGGAGGCAGGAUCAAGCUCUGAACAUCACCACGUCCCCUCCCCCUGCCUGUCACAGGCCAGGAUGCAGAGCAAGUCUACUGCAGGGUGACUCAGGAUGCUACCUCAGCGCCUCUUGGUUCACAGAUAACCCUGAUGCCAGGGAAGGUGAAAGGCUCCAGCUAACCUUCUAGUCUACAGAAGCAAGAUUUGGGCGCCAUCCCAACUGAACUGUGACCAUCUGUCAGACUUCGUUUCCCCAAGGGUGUCCCAAGGUUCUGGGUGAACACUGAACACCAGGACACAGAUCUUGCCCUAGCUUCAACACACUCCAGAGUCCCUGCCUUGUUGGCUGUGGCUGCACUAUCCCACUUGGUUUCUCCUCUCCCUGGCCACUUAGGAGAGGCAGAAAUCUUUCUGAGAGCUGGAUGGUGGAGCACGCCUUUAAUCCCAGCACUUGGAAGGCAGAGGCAGGCAGAUCUCUGUGAGUUUGAGGCCGGCCUGGUCUACAGAGCGAGUUCCAGGACAGGCUCCAAAAACUACACAGAGGAAUGGGAGUCCCAGGAGGCAGAACAUCUCAGUUGUAGUAGGUGACAGAUACCUGGUGAAGGUAUCAACUCAGAAGCCCAGCAGUCUUCACUAUGAGCCCUGGCUCUCCCACUGGUCAGCUGUGUGACCUUGGUUUCCUGUUGUGUAGUGGUAACGAUGACCGUGACCAUAGCAGGGCUUGUGGGCCGUUGCUAUUGCUGUGAAACCAUUAGCUGAUAGGUAAAGG
RNAcentral lists this long non-coding RNA (764 nucleotides) under Cricetulus griseus (Chinese hamster). Its description in RNAcentral is "lncRNA (ENSCGRG00015039898.1)". Lineage: Eukaryota; Metazoa; Chordata; Mammalia; Rodentia; Cricetidae. The record is from RNAcentral.